UCAGGAGUAGCUCAGUGGUAGAGCAAUCGACUGUUAAUCGAUUGGUCGUGGGUUCGAGCCCCACCUCCUGAG
Molecule: transfer RNA, 72 nt
Filed under: Candidatus Kerfeldbacteria bacterium
Lineage: Bacteria; Candidatus Kerfeldiibacteriota
Description: tRNA-Asn
Rfam family: tRNA
About the family: Transfer RNA (tRNA) molecules are approximately 80 nucleotides in length. Their secondary structure includes four short double-helical elements and three loops (D, anti-codon, and T loops).
Source: RNAcentral